GACGAACGCUGGCGGCGUGCUUAACACAUGCAAGUCGAGCGGUAAGGCCCCUUCGGGGGUACGACGAGCGGCGAACGGGUGAGUAACACGUGGGUGACCUGCCCUCAGCUCUGGGAUAAGCCUGGGAAACUGGGUCUAAUACCGGAUAUGACUCCAUGACGCAUGUCGUGGGGUGGAAAGCCUUGUGCGGCUGGGGAUGGGCCCGCGGCCUAUCAGCUUGUUGGUGGGGUGAGGCCUACCAAGGCGACGACGGGUAGCCGGCCUGAGAGGGCGACCGGCCACACUGGGACUGAGACACGGCCCAGACUCCUACGGGAGGCAGCAGUGGGGAAUCUUGCGCAAUGGGCGAAAGCCUGACGCAGCGACGCCGCGUGAGGGAUGACGGCCU
RNAcentral lists this ribosomal RNA (388 nucleotides) under uncultured bacterium. Its description in RNAcentral is "bacterial SSU rRNA". It matches the Rfam family "Bacterial small subunit ribosomal RNA", at positions 28 to 417 of the family's 1533-position model. The record is from RNAcentral.